GUAUUUGGAAGCCCCGGGCAAGAGCUUCUGCAGGAGACGGUUACAAAUUAGUCCUCUUACUCUUGUAAGCUGAGUGGUUGGCACCUGGUCCAGAACACGGCCUUCAGCAUUAGAGAACAUUCCCAAGCCACAAAGAAUGAUCUGCACGUUGCCUUUCUUAUGAAAUGAAAAAAGGGUCUCCAAAAGAAAUAAAACACAGAUUAUUGAACAUGGCUGGAGGCGCCUGGAAAAGAUGAGACCAGAGGACAAAAUUCUGAACAUGGAAUUUUAGGAAGAGAGAAAUGGCUGCACAGAGUACGAUGGACUGAAAAAGGAUGGGAUGCUGGGGAUUUGGAUGCAGACAUAGACAAGAACUGUCCAGAAUUCCUGAGGAUGGAGAGGAGAACCAUGAGACCAGAGAAUCAGAUGAUGUGACAUCAAAUUCAUGAUGCAAUUCAAAACACAGCUGUGGGGCAGGAAUCUGGAACCAACCGAAAUGGGGACUCAGAGAAAAAGAAAGAGGAAUCUACCCACUUUUCAGUCAACUUACCCAAUGGGAGAAGACACACCUUCCCAUGUGGAUCUUGUAGAAGCUUCUGGAGGGGUCAGUCCCAGGAGGUGGGAGAGUUGACACCAUGAUCCAGGGCUCCUUUGAGAUAUUUUUUUGUUUGCUUGUUUGUUUUUGCUUCUCUCAGAUUCCUGAAAAGUCUUAGUUUCCCAUCUUUGUCAGUUGGAUACCUGGUACCUUUGGUCUUUAAGGACCCAGAUGUCCUCUCCUUUUUACAGAUGGAGAGAUGAAGGCUAGUUUAGACAACGCAUACAGGACUGGCAAAACCAUAUUAGACUUUUGGUAUGGUUAAUUGUUCCCAUGAAAGUCUUACAUUUUGCAUUGUUUUCAAGUCACUGCCAAGACUGAGGAAAAUGACAAGGAUGGUUUUGUAAGUGUAAUGAAAAUAUGCGUGGAGAACAUCACAGACAGAUUGUCCUGUGUAGUGUUUAGGUAGGGCCCAAGGUCCAAUUUGGGGAGCUUCCAUGAGGACGUGGGGAAAAACAUGUCAACCCUGACAGAAGCAGUUGCUGACUGAGCAAAAAUGUUCUCCUCUCUACUCCCUAAAGCUUCCUAACUCUCAUCGGUCUGCUUUUAACCAGAGCCUUGGGGCACCCCACCUGAAGACUCACAUUUUCUCUGGUCCCCGGGGAAGACACCAGUUUGCUCAGUGACAGUGUGCCAAACAGGGGAAAAAAAAAAAAGAAAAAAAAAAAAAGAAGAAGAAGAGCUUCAGCAACUGCGAACCAGGAAAUUUUUUGUUUGUUUGUUUGUUUUAAAACAAGAUUUGCCAAUCUCGCCAAGAAAUUUUGUCUAAGUUACAGCCUGGCAGCCUUUCUAAUCGCUCAUCGUUCUUUUUCUGAAUCCUGCAUUUUCAUGGAGGGGAGAUAAUCUUUGGCAUUAUCCUCAUUGGCUUGGCUUAGCUCUCAGUCCCUUGGGGUCCUGUUGCCUCUAGAAACUUUCAACUUCUAAAUCCAGUGCUGGCUCACCCAGGAAAGGAACAGGCAAAUUGAACAAUAAAAUUCAAGCCGUAGCUUCCGUUGUGACUCAAGAGCAGAAAAUGUUUUUAAUGUCCAAGAGCACAUAAGUGGCAUUAAUCAUCAAGAAUUUAUUAUUUCUCAUUGGGGGCCCCAAAGAAACACCAUUUUGCCCAACUCCAUUAUUAUCUGGGAUUUGAAAAGCUUUUCAAAACUAGUUGCCUGAUUGGAUAUUUACCUAAGGUUGAGCGUUUCAGAAGUUCUUUCAUAGAAAUUAUAUAUGCCCCAAAAGAGAAAAUAGUGUUUUUUUCUUCCUUUCUUUUCUUUUUCAUUUCUCCCUUGUGUUUCUCUUCCUUUCUUUAGUGACCCUUGCUGUGUCAGCCUUUCUAUGCAUGAUCAGUUUGCUGUGAUCUAUGGAGAACUCCCACCUCAGGAAUUUGAAGCCCGUGGUAAGUCUUUUUGUUUUUUGAGUCUAGGCUAUAGAUUACUUUUGUUUUGAGAAAACCUUAGGGGCUUGUAAUAUAGUCACAAUUUUUUAUUCUUUGAACUGCAUAAAUAAAUUAGACCACUUUGUGGUGGAAAGAUUUUUGCAAGCAUAAGCUCAGGAUACUUUUCUAUUGUAUCUCUGAAAUAUUAAGUAUUUUUGGGUGUUCACACAAAAGUUGAUAGGAUCGAUCCUUCCUUCCUUCCUUCCUUCCUUCCUUCCUUCCUUCUUUCUUCCUCUUCUUUUUUCUUUCUUUUUUUUUCUUUCUUUCUUUCUUUCUUUCUUUCUUUCUUUUUCUUUCUUUCUUUCUUUCUUUCUUUCUUUCUUUCUUUCUUUCUUUCUUUCUUUCCUUUUUCUUCUGACCUUCCUAGUGCAGUAAAUAAACAUUGAAAGAAUGUUAUAAAUUCAUCUGUUGGUAAUCCUUAAACUGCAUUAGAAUAAUUGAUUUGGGGAACCUAGAUAAAUAUUUAUCAUAACAAACCCACGUUUCUCAUUUCAUGUGGAAGGGAGCUGCAUUUUCCUUCAUGCACAGGGAUCAUAUGAAAAGCUUAUGUUAGAAGAUAGAAGCUUCAAAUCCAUUCUCUGGUCUUGGGGGACAUAACUUCUUGAGAUAGCUAGACUACA
This 2611-nucleotide long non-coding RNA is filed under the name Canis lupus familiaris (dog). RNAcentral describes it as "lncRNA (ENSCAFG00845010736.1)". The record is from RNAcentral. Lineage: Eukaryota; Metazoa; Chordata; Mammalia; Carnivora; Canidae.